AGUGAACGCUGGCGGUAGGCCUAACACAUGCAAGUCGAACGGCAGCACAGUAAUAGCUUGCUCUUACGGGUGGCGAGUGGCGGACGGGUGAGGAAUACAUCUGAAUCUACUUUUUCGUGGGGGAUAACGUAGGGAAACUUACGCUAAUACCGCAUACGACCUACGGGUGAAAGCAGGGGAUCUUCGGACCUUGCGCGAUUGAAUGAGCCGAUGUCGGAUUAGCUAGUUGGCGGGGUAAAGGCCCACCAAGGCGACGAUCCGUAGCUGGUCUGAGAGGAUGAUCAGCCACACUGGAACUGAGACACGGUCCAGACUCCUACGGGAGGCAGCAGUGGGGAAUAUUGGACAAUGGGCGCAAGCCUGAUCCAGACAUACCGCGUGGGUGAAGAAGGCCUUCGGGUUGUAAAGCCCUUUUGUUGGGAAAGAAAAGCAGCAGGUUAAUACCCCGCUGUUCUGACGGUACCAAAAGAAUAAGCACCGGCUAACUUCGUG
RNAcentral lists this ribosomal RNA (492 nucleotides) under uncultured bacterium. RNAcentral describes it as "partial 16S ribosomal RNA". It matches the Rfam family "Bacterial small subunit ribosomal RNA", at positions 29 to 507 of the family's 1533-position model. The record is from RNAcentral.